Molecule: non-coding RNA, 95 nt
Filed under: Paraphysomonas bandaiensis
Lineage: Eukaryota; Chrysophyceae; Chromulinales; Paraphysomonadaceae
Source: RNAcentral
UCAAGUUUUCCACAAUAUUUUGUGACUGUAACUUGUUGCUUUAAGACUAUAUCAUACGGUAUUAGUCAUAGUAAUAUUGGCAUUAGCUUACAGUG